This 337-nucleotide ribosomal RNA is filed under the name uncultured Pseudomonadota bacterium. RNAcentral's name for it is "bacterial SSU rRNA". It matches the Rfam family "Bacterial small subunit ribosomal RNA", at positions 29 to 351 of the family's 1533-position model. Lineage: Bacteria; Pseudomonadati; Pseudomonadota. The record is from RNAcentral.
AGCGAACGUUAGCGGCGGGCUUAACACAUGCAAGUCGAACGCGAAAGGGCUUCGGCCCCGGUAGCGUGGCGUCCGGGUGAGUAACACGUAGGGAAUCUACCCUGGAGCGGGGGAUAACGUUCCGAAAGGAACGCUAAUACCGCGUAAGACCACGACGGCUACGGCCGAUGCGGUCAAAGAUGGCCUCUAUUCAUAAGCUAUCGCUCUAGGAUGACCCUGCGGCCCAUCAGCUAGUUGGUAGGGUAAUGGCCUACCAAGGCGAAGACGGGUAGCUGGUCUGAGAGGAUGAUCAGCCACACUGGCACUGAAACACGGGCCAGACUCCUACGGGAGGCUG